RNAcentral lists this ribosomal RNA (253 nucleotides) under uncultured bacterium. Its description in RNAcentral is "partial 16S ribosomal RNA". It matches the Rfam family "Bacterial small subunit ribosomal RNA", at positions 524 to 776 of the family's 1533-position model. The record is from RNAcentral.
UACGAAGGGUGCAAGCGUUAAUCGGAAUUACUGGGCGUAAAGGGUGCGUAGGCGGUUUGUUAAGUCUGUUGUGAAAUCCCCGGGCUCAACCUGGGAAUGGCAAUGGAUACUGGCAAGCUAGAGUGUGUCAGAGGAUGGUGGAAUUUCCGGUGUAGCGGUGAAAUGCGUAGAUAUGUGGAGGAACACCAAUGGCGAAGGCAGCCCCCUGGGAUAACACUGACGCUCAUGUACGAAAGCGUGGGUAGCAAACAGG